AUGGGAACGCGAAGAACCUUACCUACUCUUGACAUCCAGAGAACUUUCCAGAGAUGGAUUGGUGCCUUCGGGAACUCUGAGACAGGUGCUGCAUGGCUGUCGUCAGCUCGUGUUGUGAAUGUUGGGUUAAGUCCCGCAACGAGCGCAACCCGUUAUCCUUUGUUGCCAGCGGUUAGGCCGGGAACUCAAAGGAGACUGCCAGUGAUAAACUGGAGGAAGGUGGGGAUGACGUCAAGUCAUCAUGGCCCUUACGAGUAGGGCUACACACGUGCUACAAUGGCGCAUACAAAGAGAAGCGACCUCGCGAGAGCAAGCGGACCUCAUAAAGUGCGUCGUAGUCCGGAUUGGAGUCUGCAACUCGACUCCAUGAAGUCGGAAUCGCUAGUAAUCGUAGAUCAGAAUGCUACGGUGAAUACGUUCCCGGGUCUUGUACACACCGAGUCGUGGGAGGGCAA
This 455-nucleotide ribosomal RNA is filed under the name uncultured bacterium. RNAcentral's name for it is "bacterial SSU rRNA". It matches the Rfam family "Bacterial small subunit ribosomal RNA", at positions 954 to 1410 of the family's 1533-position model. The record is from RNAcentral.